Molecule: transfer RNA, 75 nt
Filed under: Rhodobacter phage RcXuper
Lineage: Duplodnaviria; Heunggongvirae; Uroviricota; Caudoviricetes
Description: tRNA-Gly
Rfam family: tRNA
About the family: Transfer RNA (tRNA) molecules are approximately 80 nucleotides in length. Their secondary structure includes four short double-helical elements and three loops (D, anti-codon, and T loops). Further hydrogen bonds mediate the characteristic L-shaped molecular structure. tRNAs have two regions of fundamental functional importance: the anti-codon, which is responsible for specific mRNA codon recognition, and the 3' end, to which the tRNAs corresponding amino acid is attached (by aminoacyl-tRNA synthetases). tRNAs cope with the degeneracy of the genetic code in two manners: having more than one tRNA (with a specific anti-codon) for a particular amino acid; and 'wobble' base-pairing, i.e. permitting non-standard base-pairing at the 3rd anti-codon position.
Source: RNAcentral
GCGGGUGUAGCUCAGAGGCAGAGCGACUGGCUUCCAACCAGUAGGCCGGGGUUUCGAAAUCCCUCACCCGCUCCA